UGGGGAAUCUUGCGCAAUGGUCGAAAGACUGACGCAGCGACGCCGCGUGUGGGAGGACGCCUUUCGGGGUGUAAACCACUGUUGCCCGGGACGAACAGCUUCUUUCGAGAAGUCUGACGGUACCGGGUGAGGAAGCACCGGCUAACUCCGUGCCAGCAGCCGCGGUAAUACGGAGGGUGCGAGCGUUGUCCGGAAUCAUUGGGCGUAAAGGGCGCGUAGGUGGCCCGGUCAGUUCGUGGUGAAAGCGCGGGGCUCAACCCCGCGUCGGCCAUGAAUACUGCUAGGCUUGAGCACUGUAGAGGCAGGCGGAAUUCCGGGUGUAGCGGUGGAAUGCGUAGAGAUCCGGAAGAACACCGGUGGCGAAGGCGGCCUGCUGGGCAGUAGCUGACACUGAGGCGCGACAGCGUGGGGAGCAAACA
RNAcentral lists this ribosomal RNA (419 nucleotides) under uncultured Gemmatimonas sp. Its description in RNAcentral is "bacterial SSU rRNA". It matches the Rfam family "Bacterial small subunit ribosomal RNA", at positions 355 to 774 of the family's 1533-position model. Lineage: Bacteria; Pseudomonadati; Gemmatimonadota; Gemmatimonadia; Gemmatimonadales; Gemmatimonadaceae. The record is from RNAcentral.